This 332-nucleotide small RNA is filed under the name Arabidopsis thaliana (thale cress). RNAcentral describes it as "ATSL228670". Lineage: Eukaryota; Viridiplantae; Streptophyta; Magnoliopsida; Brassicales; Brassicaceae. The record is from RNAcentral.
AUACCAUACAUAUUAAAAAUUUGACCAAUAAUAUAUAUAAAUAUUUUUGGUUAAUUUUCCUUUUGGUUAAGAAAAACAAAAUGUAAUAUUUUUUAGAUAUAGACAUAUGAAUUAGUAUAUGUUAAUAAUGAUUUAUUUUUUAGUUUUCUAUUUCUUUAAGAAGAAAAAAGUUAAUUGACUUCUUUUUUAGUAUUUCUAUUUCUUUAAGAAGAAAAAAGUUAAUUAUUUUGUUACACGUGUCAACAUCUGAUCGAUAGACUUGACACAUGACAUAAUCCUAUGAGUUAGUAAUUUUAAAAACCAUACUUUAUAUAAUAAGAUAUGUAAAUGUU